AACAAAAUUACAAUAAUUAUGCCUAUAUUUUUCAUUCUGGACCAAAAGUCAGUCAAUGGUUUACCACAUCUCAACAUAGUUGUCAUUCCAAUCAACGAUUAUUAAGAAAAUACAUAAGAGCUGAUAAUGCACCUCGUUGUGUAAAUGGAAGAGAUAAAUGAGAAUCCAUGAGCUGAACAUGAAUUAGAAAAUCAGCUGACACAAUUCUCAGCGUCUGCCAUUCUUCUCCGCGUGACUGGGCCGCUGCAACAGAAACAUGUACGACCAGAAGUUAUGUAGCUGACCAGGUUCUGAACGAAAGGCCAUUCCUUCAUAUCUUUGCAAUGCCCCCUGAAAAUAGAGAAUGAGAGUCAAUAUAGAUCAAAGUAUUGUCAAUUCAUUACUCACUAAUCGGCAACAUAUGCUUGUCAAAUUUGAGGCUCUAAAGCCAAAAAAAGGAGGGAGAAUAUCCUGAACACACAUGAAAAGAGGAACACAAACGACAGGAAAAGCAGCCAAAGUAUACCUUUAGCUUCAAUCCAAUGGUCUGAUUGAGUUCACGGCCAAAUCCUUCGUACAUCCUCAUCUGCAGCUAUCUAAGGCAGUGAGUGGAGAACAAAGAUUUAAAUAGAUCACCAAAAAGGAUGCAACCGUGAAACAACAGGCACAAUACAAUUAAACAAAGCAUUGUGGACCUGGAACAGGAGAGGAAUGGUGGAGCACAUGACAAGAGGCGCAAGUAGAAAUUACUGUGAAUGAUGAUAAAAGCAUGUAACAAAAGAAAAGUUGGUAUUAUACCACCCGCACCAUCCAAGAACAGCAGACCUUUUUAGACCUUGCAUACAACGCCAGUAAAACCAAAAAGAAGAUCAACUGCCCUUUACAAAUGCUCUAUAAUCCAAAAACAUUAUCACAAGAUGGACAAACUUGAAGUUGGUGGCAUCGACGCCGGUGAAGCACAACAGGAAAUAAUGGCCAUAUCAACAUGUCUAGUUAAAAGCACCAGACUCUAUUAUGCACACUAUUUCUUAAAGCAUUAUAUCCUUACAAUUAAUCUUCAUAUAGAGUUAUUUUUUGUAGUCAGCCAGUUCUCAAAUCUGCACCUCUCUUUUUGCAUCUGUGUCUACUACCUCUUGAUCGAGCACCAACCAAAAUAGUAAAAAGGUAGACCGAGCACAUUGCACACCAAGAAACACAAUGGUCGGGUGGAACAUAUACAUUCACCAAGUAUAUCCCCUCUUCUCAGACCAAGACGACACAAUGAGGUAUCAUAUGUUUGCUAAUUAAACUGUAACCUUAAAUGUGUGUGCAUACGUGCAUGGGCAUGUCCAUUUAUUCCUAAUAGGAAAAUAUGCCAAAACAUCGGCCACUUUCUCUUUUAAGCUGGAAAGACCGAUCACUUGGCUAAUAUGCAUGCAGACACCUCUAAUCUAAAUGGAGGAACUGAACAAUCAGUCACUAUGAUUUAUUAACUACAUACAUAUACAUUCCAGUCAAGCGCCUUUCUAGAAAAUGACAUGCUUAUCAGUCACUAUGAUUUUCUUAAAUAUGCACCACCAAAUAUUGAAAGGUAGAAUAAUAUCAUCAUCCUUUUAGUUCCCAUCCAUAUGGAGGAGCAUAAAGAUAGCAAAAAUGUUAGUAUAGUAUGCACACCUACUGUAACUCAUCCUUUUAGGUGUUUAGUAGGACCUAUUUCGUAUGUGUCUCUCACUGUAGGUGGGCAAUACAUUCCCUUGGCCAGGUUAGGAAUGUCCAAAAUACUGAUUCCAAAACAAAACAUGAGUUACAGUUUAGUAGGACCAAGAAGGAUUCAAGAUUAUAAAAGGAGCUGGGAUACACAUUCUUAUUAAAGUUAUUAUGUGUAGCUUUCAGGGGCCUACCAAUCAAUCCAUAUGUACAUCCCUAUAAUACUUUCAGGAAGGUACCACUCAAUCCAUUAGAGCAUCUCCUUUUUGCAUUAAUAGAAGAGGAGCUAGCAUACCUACAGAUGGGCUGGUGAUGGUGAGGUAGCCAGCAAGUAGACCUAGCUGCAGAAGACACCGCCUCACCCACGCUGCUGAUGGGAAACCACCCGGACACGUGCACUCUCGCCAGAGAGGCACCCUCAAUCUCCGCUGAUGGCUGCCUUCCUUGAUAGCUGAGGGAUCUGCCGGCGAGGUCCUGACAACCGUUCAUAAGGAGCAAAAAAGCAAGUGUUGAUCUAUUAUUUCCCUCAUAGAGCAUUGUAAGCACGAGCAGAUGUUCGCCAAUUGUGUGUUUUAAAAUACAUUGUAAUUGCAAGCAAGUAAAAUAACAGGGGUGAUGUAUACUUGUACAUACUUCUUCUGUGCUCUGAACAACAAAGCGAGAAAGGGGGAAAGGGUGUAAGCGCCUAGGCGCUAGGCCAGAACAGAACGCAUUGCUUAAGGUUGCCUAGGCAUGCGCUUAGGCAAGAUAUGCGCUAGUCAGUGGGAACAUACAAAGUUAACAAUUAGAGUUUUUUCCCUGGUCCUAAAUAACAGGACUCGAAUGCCAUGUGAAUUGUGUAAAGCAGAGCAAAGAAGUAGAAAAGCAGAAAAUAGGAAGUGAAGUAAUGGACCGAGGUAUAUGUUUUAACCAAACACUACCAUACUUUCGAAUAUUGUUCCUUAUUUUAAGUAUACAGAAGAACCAAGAGCAGCAUAAUCACUUGCCCAUAGCAUCAAGUUUCUGCGGCAUAGCAUCAUAGAAGUUGUAUCAUAGCAUCGAGAAGCACUUUCUGUUUAGUAAACUGCAAUUUGGAAGGUUACGUUGCUGCAUCAUAGCAUCAAGAAGCACUUUUUGUUGGGAUCUUAAUUUUGUCCAUCACGACAGACUGAUUACACAAGAAAGACACUGUAAGCAAGUGUUGGAAGCUUUAUAGUGUAUGAUUUGAGACGUUUAUCCAUCUAUUAUUUUCCCGUGACAAAAAACAGUGUUGUUAAACAAUGAUAAUAGUAGAAUUUUGGAAGUCUGGCAAUUACAAUAGAGUAAAUGUCUAUCCUGAAGUUAGAACUAAAUAAAACCAGGGUUUAGAAGUGAAUUUCACGGAUAAUUAUUCGUGUUGCUUGAAUCAUAAUUAAAUCGAUAAUAUGAUUUUUCAUGUCGCAUUAUUAUGCUAAUUGGGAUUGUAGUAGAAAAGGCAGGAUAACAGUAUACUCCACUCUUUUUCCAGUUGGGAAGAACAACCUCUCCUGUCCCAUUCUCUGAAUUUUCAUAUAGAUAAUCUUCAAUUUUCUAUUUUUUCUAUCCAUUUAUUUCAGUAGCUCUUUUAGUUCAUAUGAUUGGCUUUGUUUCAUCGAUGGACCCUAAGGAUAAUGCAUGAACUUGCUAAAAUGUUCAGAUUGACGCAGUUACUACAUCUAAUUCAGUAGUAGUGCUUCUGCAUUAACAUACGUACAUAUGGUAUGGAUGACUGAUUACAAACCUGAGUCAUAAUCAACAGUGUUGUUAAAAAGUGGUGAUUAUAACUUAAUGUGCAGUUCACAUGUACAAAUUCAAACUUUUAUGUUUUAGCUAGGAUAUGUAUGCUAGUUGGGCAAUCUUAAAGGAGAGCUGGUAAAUAUCAAGAGGCAUAUGCAUACAACCGUAGAUGAUAAUUUUUCUGAGAAUAACAGGGCUUUCAGGUUGUUGUAGUUGAACAUGAUUAAUGCAUAUACUAUCUUGCAGGCAGCAAGAAAAUAAGAGAUCAGCAUGUAUUUCCAUGCAUCAACAGAUUAUUCACAUGUCGAUUAAGAAGCACACGCAACAAGGAUCGAUAGGUUGACUAAAGAAGAUUAGUUCGCGAAAACAUACUGUGUCGUCGCUCAAGGUUUACCUGAAGGUGAGUGAGGUGGCCUGAUCUGGUGAGAAUCCACAAGAGGAGAUGAAGUGCUGCCGCGAUGCGUAAAUGGGAGAGAGCAGAUCUUGCGGGCAAGGGAGCACAUACCCGAGACAGAGCCAGAUCGUUGAGUGUUUUCCUUUUCUGAAGAUCCAACAAAAACAAUUGUAAGAUUAUUUUUUCCUGUAAAAUUCCAUGUGCCUUUGGAGUAGAGAAGCAACACUACUGAACACAAUAAUCAUAUCUCACGGAAGAUAUUUUUAGGAAAGUAAUAAAAUGUACUCUUUUAACCAGUUUCUCACCUAGUGUAGAAGAGGCUGCGGAUAGGAAGCAAAACCAAAAUUAAUGUCACUUUCAUAGUUGUACCUCACAUCAUGCAUCACUAUCAAGAGCAACUAUUAGAUUUACCAUAGACUGGCCACUAAGAGAGGCCAAAUAUGAUCAUGAAUGAAUGACAAAACUGUAUCUACCUUCUAUAAACAGCAUUCAUCUAAAGAACCUUAACUUCAUAGCAUCCACACUGCUAGAGAACACAAAAAAUAUAUAAACUGUAAAACAUUCACACUAAAACUAAAACCAUGAUAGGUUGUGCAUACAGAGGCAUCAAAAAAGGAAAUAGGGAAGAACUCACCCGAUCAGGGCCAACAGAACAAUGAGAACAUCCAGCUUACAUGCAACACCAUCGGUGGUAGAACUGCUGCCGUCCCUAAACUGAAGGAAAUAUCAAAGAAAUUAAACCAUCAUGUCCACAAGCAACGAGUGGAUUUGUAAUGAAACCAACAACAUGAAGAUGUCCCUUGAUUUAGUAGUAAUUAAUAGGAUAUCGGUAUGAAGAAAACGAUAAUUAGACCAUGCAUUGAUAAUCCAACACAGGUACGUACAAAAGAACAAGGAACUUUCGAAAUAUUUGGUCAAAAGUAAUCCAGACAUUAAUUACUAAUUAUUAGAUGUAGGCCAACUGAAAAAACACAACCAUCUACAAAUAGAAAACAUGGGUUGGCAUACAACAAUCAGAAGCGGACCUUGCUCAUUCUCGCUUGAUAGGAAAACUUUAAAUAUUGAUGCAGAAUUUACUGAACCCUAAAAACAAACUACAACAAAUAGCUGAAAACAAUCAGAAGCGGACCUUGCUCAUCCUUUUAAUCACAUACUCAACAACACAAAAGAAGCAAAAUGAAUAAGCUCGGUGUUAUAUUGCACCCUUUAAAUUAUCCGCUUCAUUUCAUUAGAAUAUACAUGUGUAAGCGGUACUGCAACAUAAAGAGAACUAUCCUUGGCCCCAUGCAAAUAUAAGUGAAUACGGAAUCUGUUUUGCAGCAGAAGAGAAUUCAGUAAUCACCUCAGCCCACCUUGGAAACAACAAUUCCUUGAGGUGUUUUUCAUGUCGUAGAAUAUGCAUCGGCCAAUGAUGUGAGUCUACUAUAAAAUCGGGAAAAUUCAACAACAUAGUUGAUAACGGAAGAAGCACUUUGAACAAAGUUCAGAGAACCAAAGAAUGGUCAGGAAUUUGUCACUAAUAUAAAGUAACAAUGCAAUUUCACAUUCGUAAAUAAAGCAGGCUGGGUCUAGAAUGUGAAACUGUCGAGUUCCUUACAGAAACAUUAAAAGACCUCAUAUGCGAGUUGCCACAAUAAAAAAGUGAAAUAUGUCAUUUAUUAUAGCGAUUACCUCUUUUCUUGAGUAGUUCAGCGCACCUCUCCCAGGUUGAACCUCCCACUAAAAUCAUUCUUUGUCUUAGCCUUUCUACCUUCCUGGAAAACAGAAAAAGGACACGGUUACUCAAAAUUAAAGAUCCUAUAGGGGGGUUAUUGCAAUAGGAAUAUCGAUACUGAAAAAGAUUGGAUUGCUGUCACUAAAGUACGGGAUGCCCGCACUCAUCCCAUACCUCUGCCGGGAUGGUAAACAAAAAUAAGUAUAGGAUUACUCGAGUAAUUUCCUACUUUCUCCAGCGUCUACUGCAUAAAAGAUCGCAGUUUCUCAUGUAAAUCAGGGCAAGAGCCAAAGCUAAUUUUUUAAUGUAUUUUGGUAUGAGUGAAGAAAAUGUUCACCAUGGUACUAUAUUCAUUCCAGCCUC
Molecule: long non-coding RNA, 5870 nt
Filed under: Triticum aestivum (bread wheat)
Lineage: Eukaryota; Viridiplantae; Streptophyta; Magnoliopsida; Poales; Poaceae
Description: long non-coding RNA (TAES_LNC007404)
Source: RNAcentral